RNAcentral lists this transfer RNA (74 nucleotides) under Crassvirales sp. RNAcentral describes it as "tRNA-Ile". It matches the Rfam family "tRNA". From Rfam's summary of the family: Transfer RNA (tRNA) molecules are approximately 80 nucleotides in length. Their secondary structure includes four short double-helical elements and three loops (D, anti-codon, and T loops). The record is from RNAcentral. Lineage: Duplodnaviria; Heunggongvirae; Uroviricota; Caudoviricetes; Crassvirales.
AGGUAUAUAGUUCAGUUGGUCAGAGCACCUCUCUGAUACAGAGGAAGUCAUAGGUUCAAGUCCUAUUAUACCUA